UAAUAAAGAAUUAAGCAAAAUACGAACCUCUGUGUUUUUAAAAUCACAUUUUAUUUCAGCACUAUUUUACAACAAAAACAUGCUUGACUUUAAUUCAAUAAAAUAGGAGAAAUAAUCUUGCCCACCUAACAUCCUCACUAUAGACAGACAUGGAACUUGUCUAUGAAGUUGUUAUGGUGGCAAGAGUGCCUGGACACCCAUCUUCAGAUGUAAAGCUAUUUUCAAACAGUUUAAGAAACACCGGCCUCCAGUUUAAACUUUCCUACUAUUGAGGAGGCAGAAAUAAAGAAAACAGGAGG
This is a non-coding RNA of Pelobates cultripes (western spadefoot toad), 299 nucleotides long. Lineage: Eukaryota; Metazoa; Chordata; Amphibia; Anura; Pelobatidae. The record is from the annotation of a GenBank genome assembly.